UCACGCAAUAAAUUUUAUCGG
Molecule: non-coding RNA, 21 nt
Filed under: Caenorhabditis elegans
Lineage: Eukaryota; Metazoa; Nematoda; Chromadorea; Rhabditida; Rhabditidae
Source: RNAcentral